CAGUCGCCGCGGUAAUACGGAGGGUGCAAGCGUUGUCCGGAUUUAUUGGGUUUAAAGGGUGCGUAGGCGGCUAUUUAAGUCAGCGGUGAAAGACUCCGGCUCAACCGGAGCAGUGCCAUUGAUACUGGAUAGCUUGAGUGUUGGAGGGGUACAUGGAAUUGAUGGUGUAGCGGUGAAAUGCAUAGAUACCAUCAGGAACACCGAUAGCGAAGGCAUUGUACUGGCCAACAACUGACGCUGAGGCACGAAAGCAUGGGGAGCGAACAGGAUUAGAUACCCCAGUAGUCCCUGUCUCUUAUAC
RNAcentral lists this ribosomal RNA (301 nucleotides) under uncultured bacterium. RNAcentral describes it as "partial 16S ribosomal RNA". It matches the Rfam family "Bacterial small subunit ribosomal RNA", at positions 509 to 807 of the family's 1533-position model. The record is from RNAcentral.